This 648-nucleotide ribosomal RNA is filed under the name Verrucosispora sp. PC1038. RNAcentral's name for it is "bacterial SSU rRNA". It matches the Rfam family "Bacterial small subunit ribosomal RNA", at positions 76 to 740 of the family's 1533-position model. The record is from RNAcentral. Lineage: Bacteria; Bacillati; Actinomycetota; Actinomycetes; Micromonosporales; Micromonosporaceae.
CCCUUCGGGGUACUCGAGCGGCGAACGGGUGAGUAACACGUGAGCAACCUGCCCUAGGCUUUGGGAUAACCCUCGGAAACGGGGGCUAAUACCGAAUAUUCACUUGCGGGCGCAUGUUUGUGGGUGGAAAGUUUUUCGGCUUGGGAUGGGCUCGCGGCCUAUCAGCUUGUUGGUGGGGUGAUGGCCUACCAAGGCGACGACGGGUAGCCGGCCUGAGAGGGCGACCGGCCACACUGGGACUGAGACACGGCCCAGACUCCUACGGGAGGCAGCAGUGGGGAAUAUUGCACAAUGGGCGGAAGCCUGAUGCAGCGACGCCGCGUGAGGGAUGACGGCCUUCGGGUUGUAAACCUCUUUCAGCAGGGACGAAGCGCAAGUGACGGUACCUGCAGAAGAAGCGCCGGCCAACUACGUGCCAGCAGCCGCGGUAAGACGUAGGGCGCGAGCGUUGUCCGGAUUUAUUGGGCGUAAAGAGCUCGUAGGCGGCUUGUCGCGUCGACUGUGAAAACCCACGGCUCAACUGUGGGCUUGCAGUCGAUACGGGCAGGCUAGAGUUCGGUAGGGGAGACUGGAAUUCCUGGUGUAGCGGUGAAAUGCGCAGAUAUCAGGAGGAACACCGGUGGCGAAGGCGGGUCUCUGGGCCGAAAC